UCACUUUCUCUUUUCAUUUUCUUUUUAAUUCACAUUUAUUUUUCUGUUUUGAUUUUAGUUAUUUAAAAUAUUUUCGUUGUCCAUAAAAUUACCCAAAAAUAUUUUUCACAUUCCUUAAUGUCUUAUUUAAUUUUGUUUAAUUUUUAUUUUCGUAUUUAUUUAAUAUUAGUAUUUUAUUUUAAUUAUUUAUUCCAAGUGGUCCAUUUUAGCAUACAUUUUACUAUUGAUUUUAUUUUCAUGACUUAAACUUUUUUUUAGCUUUUGAUUUUUGGGAUGAAGGUUGACCACUGUCUCAUGGUCAACCUUAACUUUUCUUGGAAUUUUAUUUCACAUUUUCAAUUUAAUUUGGAUUUAAUUUUAACCU
RNAcentral lists this long non-coding RNA (364 nucleotides) under Lathyrus oleraceus (garden pea). RNAcentral's name for it is "Pisum sativum (pea) long non-coding RNA (PSAT_LNC036501)". Lineage: Eukaryota; Viridiplantae; Streptophyta; Magnoliopsida; Fabales; Fabaceae. The record is from RNAcentral.